This 71-nucleotide transfer RNA is filed under the name Candidatus Roizmanbacteria bacterium RIFCSPHIGHO2_02_FULL_37_9b. RNAcentral describes it as "tRNA-Gln". It matches the Rfam family "tRNA". From Rfam's summary of the family: Transfer RNA (tRNA) molecules are approximately 80 nucleotides in length. Their secondary structure includes four short double-helical elements and three loops (D, anti-codon, and T loops). RNAcentral also lists the same sequence under 1 other name. The record is from RNAcentral. Lineage: Bacteria; Candidatus Roizmaniibacteriota.
UGGGAGGUCGUCUAAUGGUCGGACAAUUCCCUUUGGAGGAAUUUAUCGGGGUUCGACUCCCUGCCUCCCAG